This 1118-nucleotide long non-coding RNA is filed under the name Homo sapiens (human). Its description in RNAcentral is "HSALNT0358052". Lineage: Eukaryota; Metazoa; Chordata; Mammalia; Primates; Hominidae. The record is from RNAcentral.
GGAAUCUACAUCAUCGGCUCUGCAGGUUCUCAGGCCUUCGGACUGGGACUACAUUACACCACUGGCUUUCCUGGGUCUCCAGCUUGCAGAUGAAGAUUGCAGGACUUCUCAGCCUCCAAAAUCAAACAUCCCCAUGACCCUAGGGGUAAGAAAGGAGACAUCCAGCCUCUAGCGGUGCACACAGUGCAAACCAGCAGAGUGGACUGAUCAGCUCUGGAAUUCUUUUUGCCAUUCUUUCUCCAGAGUAAGGAAUGCCAACUGCAGUUCAGAAAGAGAAUCUUCUCAUAUGAAGAGCUUCCAAACUUUAUAAAGAUACUCAGAAAUUCAAGCUCCAUCCAAUUAUUUGUGCUGGGAAGGCUUGUUUGUUCUGUGGCUACUGGAAAGUUCCACAUAAACUGAAUUCAAGCUAUGCAGGUGCUCACAGCUUUUAGAGAAGAAUGCCAUCACAUACACCUGGACACCAAUCAUCCCAGCACACUUCCUGUGAUGCCCAAGCACUGCUGACCAAAUCAGUCAGACAUCUUCUCUGCUUCACAUGGCAGCAGGGGCUGAAAGAAACUCUGCAAGUCCAAUUUGUAGUUUUAAAGAAAACUAAAUUUAUGAAAAUGAUCUCUAGGGGAAGUUGCACAGUGGAGUGGAAAGAACACAAUCUUUAGAAACAGACUUGAAUUUGAAUCUCAGUUCCAGGAUUUACUAGCUAUGAAAGCCUGGGCAAGUUGCUUAACCUCUCAGCCCAUUUAAUCCUGCAUAAGGAAUCAAUAAUAACAUGCAAUCUACAAAGUAGCUUCGAGGACUGAAUUGCACACUGCUGGCAAGUGCCAGCACAGACCGGGGGCUCUUUUCACCCUCUUUCACCACUCUGCACAGAUGCUUUCUGGAGAAGAAAAUUCUAUGACCUACUUCCAAAAUCUGCUCUAACUCCUUCAAGUUAAGAAUUCUUUGUUGAAUUUAAAUACAUUUUCCAGCCAUUUAAAUAGUCUUCGUGGUGUUCUGUUCUCAAAGAAAAUUAAAAUGUGUCCCAAACGUAUCUGUGCAUGUGUGUGACUACAAAAUCCUCCAUGUCUUAGAGACUUCAAAGCUAAACAGUAAUGACCUUGGGAUUCAGGUAGGAUCUAGAA